UCGUCGCAAAACAAAAGUAACGUAAAUUAAGAACGUGGAGUAAUGAGUGGGAUUCUAUGUUUUCACGUGCAAAAGUGAUUGCUUUUGAUAUAAAUGCUUUAUCUGCCUCCCCAAUGAAAACUAGUUUGAAACCUCGAACAAAUACUGAGUGUAAAAAAACAUUAGCAACACCUGCAGUUUUCAUCACAUAGACUGACCAGGUGAAAGCAAUAAUCCCUUAUUGAUGUCACUUGUUAAAUCCACUUCAAUCAGUUUAGAUGAACCGGAGGAGACAAAUUAAAGGAUUUUUAUGCCUUGAGAAAAUUAAGACAUGGAUUGUGUGCUAUUCUGAGGGUGAAUGGGUAAGACAAAAAAAUCUUGUCUUACAACAAGACGGUGAUGGCGAUAAUGCGGGGAGAGAAUCUCACCGGGUUCUACAGGAUGCUGCAAAUACAACAGAAUGAGACUUGGAUGACUCGCAUCAUGGAAUACAUCUCUGUAUGUGAGAAUUGUUUUGCCAACUGAUGCCACGCCACCAUCAGCGAUGCUGUGUCAGGUACUGCAGGAUUCCUGGGUCUCUGACAAUACUGAUGAUAGGGUUGAGUCGGGUGACUCCCACCCAGAUGAAGAGAAUCAGGAGGAGUUUCACUCUUUCUAUGACUGCACAGUCUUCCCCUUCAUGCUGAUGCCCCAUAAUGGCUAAGGCAAGAGGAGUGCCUUUAGGAGUAAAGAGUAAAACAUGAAUGCUAUAUUUGGAGGAGUUCUUCCUGCCAGGUUCCAUGUACUGUCUGGGUGAGUUUGAGAUCGACUGCAUUGCUGUUGAUCUGCUCAGAAUAACUAUUCUACAAGUCACUUUGCAUUCCAAAUAACUACUCAUUAUGUGAUCAGGACUAGUGAUUCUGUGCCUUGCCUUGCCUUGCUCAAAAUGAUCCCUUCAAACAUGCUAAUUAUCUCCAGUUUAGUCCUGCUCCAACUCUUGAACUUUCUUUGAAACAUUGGGACCCCUCUCCCUUAGCAAAGUGCCCUCCCUUCAAUACUGUUACUUUCAAGAACUAGAAGUGUCAUACAUUGUGUACUGGUAUGCAUAAAUAGUUAGUUUUACUCUGUUCACUCUUUGUUACAUGACCUUUGUUUAGUUCAGUAUCAGCAGUCCUUUGGAUUGUUGUGUUUAGAUGGUAAUGUUUGACCUGUAUAAUUUCAAUGUAUUGGCAUGAAGACAGAACUCUGACCCAUAAUCAGGCUCAAUAUUCUAUGUAGUGUGUUUAAACAACCUGUCUCCAUGGACAGGAAGUAAGAAGAGGGUUGAACAUUAAAUCUGUCAUUCUUUUAUACCAACAUAUACUUUUUCAAACCAGAUUUGACCAACCAUAGACCAAAAACCAAAUAUAUCCAAUUGGAUCAAACCAACGUUCACUAAGAUGGGUCACACCUUACUGCAGGGGCAGAGCUGGCCAGUAUUUGAAAUAGAUGGAGACCUGCACACACUGUCCAAAACUGAGGCUUGAAUGCUAAACAAAGAUAUUUAUGAUAACAUCAUGGUGCCCAAAAAAUCAUAGUGCAUAAAUGAAAGGUGAAAACUCAACACAAAUGUUUCGGUCUCAGGUGAAAUGAGUGUGUUCAGCAGCUCUGCCAAUGGCAAACAAUACACUACCCAACAGUUCCUCGCAUGCAGCUCUUCUAGCGUCAUAUACCUUAUCUCCUGUCCAUGCAAUAAGCAAUACGUGGGCAAAACCAGUAGACAGAUAACACGUAUUAUAGAACACAAGAGUGCUGUAAGGAGAAAUGACCCUAAAUCCCCUAUUGGAUGUAAUUUCUCAAAGGCCGGUCUCAUCUCCGUGUCCUUCUGCGCUAUACAGCAGAUAAAACAUUCACGUAGGGGUGGUAAUCUGGAACUCAGUCUUCUCCAGACAGAACAUGCACCUGCAUUCUAUUUACAAACUCUCCACCCAUCGGGCUUGAGUGAAGAAUUGUUAUUGAAGUGUUUUCUCUAAGUGGUAUAUUGCCUCUUAUUGGUGUUUGCUACCUCCAUCUAGUGGUAUCUCUAACUCCCUACUCUUACCACCCUGUGUUAUUUAUUCUGAGGACAUUUUCACAUGGUACAUGUUAACGCAGUAAUUGAGGAUAUUUAUCUGUCCGCUUUUGUAUGUAUUUGUAUAUAAUCUAGAUCAUGCAUUCUAUUCUACUAGUGUGAUUCAUAGUAUGUGUUUCCUUGCUUGAUCAUGUGACACGCAAUUAUCCUUACGUUCACAUCUGAUAAUGGCCUACGGCUGAAACUUUUGUUUUCACCUUUCAUUUAUGCAUUUUCUUGCACCAUGAUUUUUUGGGGGGCAUGCACCAUGAUGGUUUAAUAAACAUCUUUAUUUUGC
Long non-coding RNA from Oncorhynchus nerka (sockeye salmon), 2345 nucleotides. RefSeq lists it as uncharacterized. The record is from RefSeq and is a predicted model, not a curated record. Lineage: Eukaryota; Metazoa; Chordata; Actinopteri; Salmoniformes; Salmonidae. The transcript has 2 exons.